This 72-nucleotide transfer RNA is filed under the name Sphaerodactylus townsendi. RNAcentral describes it as "tRNA-Ala". Lineage: Eukaryota; Metazoa; Chordata; Lepidosauria; Squamata; Sphaerodactylidae. The record is from RNAcentral.
GCCAUGGCUCAGUGUUAGGGAAUUUACUUUGCAUGCAGAAGGCCGCAGGUUCGAUCCCUGGCACCUGCAGUG